CUGUAUACCACUGGUGGGGUGUGCCGCCGCCACGCCACAUCCCAGCGAGCCUGCACGCGUCCUCCUCUCCUCACCCGUGGCCGUGGGAAUACAUCAGCGGCCACAAACAGCGGUCGCCGCAUCUGACGAGGGAGAAGCUCCCUGAUGGGUGAUCGGAAUCGGAAGGGGGGACGGACGAUGGUUGUGCCGCGCGGGCGAUCGAUCGAGGUCAUGGUGGACGCAGCCGAGGAGAUCGAUGAGACGGCCGAUCCAUCGAGGUGGACGCAGCCGAGGAGAUGAGAUGCUCGAUCGGCCAUCUCAUCUCAUCCAUCCUUCUAAUUCCCUAGGUUCCGCUCCGCAUAUGGAUGAGGUGAGAUGGAUGAUGGCAUAUGCUGGUUCGGUGGGUUUCUAGUUGUAGAGUAUGUCUAAAGAAUGGUUGUAGAAUAUAUCCAGCCCAUAUAUAUAUAUAAUAGUUACGGUAA
Long non-coding RNA from Triticum urartu, 461 nucleotides. RefSeq lists it as uncharacterized. Lineage: Eukaryota; Viridiplantae; Streptophyta; Magnoliopsida; Poales; Poaceae. The record is from RefSeq and is a predicted model, not a curated record.